This is a long non-coding RNA of Zingiber officinale, 814 nucleotides long. RefSeq lists it as uncharacterized. NCBI's taxonomy places the organism in Eukaryota, Viridiplantae, Streptophyta, Magnoliopsida, Zingiberales, Zingiberaceae. The transcript has 6 exons. The record is from RefSeq and is a predicted model, not a curated record.
UAUACGAACCCAGCAAUGGCACCAUCACCGUCAAAGUAUCCAACUUUGGCGCCACCAUCACAUCGCUCCUCGUCCAUGAUGCCAACGGUGAUUGCUCCGUACCCUAGUUGAUUCCCCCUUCCUCUGGAAUGUCGCCGAUGUAGUACUCGGUUUCGAUACCAUCGAGCCGUAUCAAAAAGGUGCUUCUCCUUACUAUGGAUGCAUUGUUGGGCGGGUAGCAAACAGAAUUAAAGAAGGAAAGUUUACUCUCAACGGCGUUGAACAUUCCUUGUUUAUCUGCAAUGGACCGAACAACCUUCAUGGUGGGAAAUGAAGUCAAUUUCAAUUUGAAUCAUCUGGCUACCUUUUACCUUUACAAAUACUUGAAGAAAGAAAAAAGAGCUGAGUAUGUGUCAUUUGUGGAUCCUAGUCACAUACCUACAUGCAGUGUGGGUGAAGAAGACAGUAAAUUGUCACAACAUUGCUGCUCAGUUGAGAGCAUCGAAUAGAGAUAGCAUCUGCUUCAUCCCAUAUAACGCUGGGUACCAUUGGAUCUUGACUAUAAUUAAUGAAGAUAAGAAUAUGAUAUAUUUAUUGGACUCUUUGAGUAACAGGAACCGAGACUAUGCUUGGCAAACUAUUGUGACCAAUGGGGUCAAGAUAUACAAUGCAUCAAGGGGUAUUUCAAAAGGACUAGGUUUUAAACAAUUGACAAUAUGUAUUAUGACUAUGUAUUGAGACAACAAUUAAUAAUUUUUAUUAUUUGGAUUGUGACUUCUUGUAUGACAUUUUCAAUUUCAUUAGGGUAUUUUUAAAUAAAAUGGUGGUGUUGAAU